Gossypium raimondii (Peruvian cotton) is the source of this 106-nucleotide non-coding RNA. Lineage: Eukaryota; Viridiplantae; Streptophyta; Magnoliopsida; Malvales; Malvaceae. The record is from Rfam.
AAUCUGUGAUGUGGGCACUUCCUUAGCAUAGUUUUGAAAUGUUCCCACGCCUCAUACAAGGAUUCACCUUCAAAUUGUUUAAAAUUGGCAAUUUCUUGCCUCAAUU